GGAGGUUGGCAAUGGACAGGAUCCUCGCCAACCCGGUCAGGUCCGGAAGGAAGCAGCCGUAACGAGUGUUUCUUGGGUCAUUAGUCCAGCCUCCCAC
This 97-nucleotide signal recognition particle RNA is filed under the name Rhodospirillaceae bacterium. RNAcentral describes it as "signal recognition particle sRNA small type". It matches the Rfam family "Bacterial small signal recognition particle RNA". Rfam says of the family: The signal recognition particle (SRP) is a universally conserved ribonucleoprotein involved in the co-translational targeting of proteins to membranes. Lineage: Bacteria; Pseudomonadati; Pseudomonadota; Alphaproteobacteria; Rhodospirillales; Rhodospirillaceae. RNAcentral also lists the same sequence under 1 other name. The record is from RNAcentral.